RNAcentral lists this unclassified non-coding RNA (2054 nucleotides) under Centruroides sculpturatus (bark scorpion). Its description in RNAcentral is "uncharacterized LOC111623307, transcript variant X3". The record is from RNAcentral. Lineage: Eukaryota; Metazoa; Arthropoda; Arachnida; Scorpiones; Buthidae.
UAAUAAAUAAUGUGUUAAUUUAUAUACAAUAUUGGUACAAGCAUCUUAAUAUUUAAUUUGCAACUGUGAAUAUUGUCAGAAAAAUAUUGAAAAGAAUUUAUUGAAAUGUAAUAAUAAUAGCUAUUCUUCAAUAAGUAGGAUAAAUUCUUCACAUUCACAUCUUCUAGAAAAGUAUUUUGAAUGGUGGCAUUAACUCAUCAGUUUGACAUAAUCAACGUCAUAAUUUUGUAAUGUUGUUUGGCAAAAUUCUGAAAACAACAAUGUUGAGAAGAUGCUGUUUCUUUUGAUUCUGCAGUCAAUCUUCUGGACACAUUUUGAGAUGGUACUUAUAUUUUGGUUUAUAUCUUCCAUUAUGAAAGAAGAAUAUAGAUGGUCUGAAUCUAAAUUGCAGGAGUGAUUUUUGUGAAUUAUUUUAAUUUAUGCUCUUUUAUUAUACAGAGUAUGUGUAAACACAAAUCUGGCGGCAUGAGUCGCCCAUCAGCUACUGCCAACCAAACAGAAAAUAUUGCAUCAAAUAAUAAUGUUGCAGCAUGUGAUAAUGACCAGCUUGAUGAUGAAACAUCUUCCACAUCCAACAACCAACAAGAAAGCACUCCUUUACAUCCUCUACAAUUGAUACCAUCAUCUCUGCAAGAAUCAUCAGAAACAAGACUUCUUCUGUUAGAUAUUUCACCAAAUAUGGGAGUUCAGAGUGCAGAGAAUUCUGUUGGAAGAGAUUUAUGUGGUGUUCAACAAAUGACACUUAAUUCUGCAUCAUCUAUGAAGCCCAAUAAUUCAUCAACAUUUAAAUGGAAUGCAAUAAGAAGAGAGAAUGAAUCUGAUGAAGAUCACAUUUCUGAAAAGUCACCCAUGCUUGGAAAUGAUUGGAAUUCUCCAUUAUUAGAAAAGUCUUGUGAUCUUCCUGCUGUUUGUAUUUGUGAUGGUACAUCAAACAGUUACAUUGACUUUGGUCAUUCGUGCAGUAAUUAUCCUUAUCCUUCUUGUUCUGGUCAGAAUGAUAAAUACAAAAUGGAAUUUACUCCAUAUAGCCAAUAUAAUAUUCCAAAUUCAUUGCUACCUAGGUCUUUCCGUAAUUUGAAGGGAGGUGGUUGUGCAGUAGUUGAAAGGGAUUUCAUUGAACUAACUGAAGAAAAUCCAGAAGAAAUUGAAUUAUCAUCUAUUCAUGGUUGUGACUGCAGCACAAGAUCAGAAAAGAAAUGGCUUUUCUCUAGGCAUAAGUGCCAUAGUCUGGAUAGUAGUACAAAGCCCACAAAAGUGAGAAUCUCAAAUUCAGGCUUGAAUAAAAGUAGAUCUUUAGCUCAAAAUAUUAGUGUUAGACCAAUGGAAAAUAUUGAAGAAUCAUCAUUAGAAAAAUCAACAAAUGAUAAUUAUUCUUUUCCAGCAGAAAAUUUUGCAAAUGAUUCUUCUGUAGCUGGACCAUCUCAAAUCCAGAGACCUAGCAGUAUUCAUGGAGUAAGUGAAAAUGCUAAAGAAUACGAAGAAGAAGAAUUCAGGAGUCGUAGUUUCAGUCUAACACCAACAAUUAGUUUUGCUAUUUUUGAGAGUGAAUCAUCAAGUGAUACAGAAGAAAGUAUUGAACAGGAAUCAGUCCAAGCUACUUCUGAUAAUUAUAACAGUGUCAUGCCAGGAGAAAAGUCAUGUAUGCCUCCACCUAUUGGUUUAUCACUUCCCAUAGUUAACAGAACACUUCCUGGAUGUCCUUCUGCAGCUCAGCUAAGUUUAGCUAGUAGUUUAGGAGAUGGACCUAUAUGCAAGAUUUGUCAUAUGUCUGCUAAAGAUGGUGACCAGUUAAUUUCUCCAUGCCGUUGCGCAGGGACCAUGCAAUAUAUACAUUGUGGAUGUCUUAUGAUUCAUCCAGUGGCCAUAUUUCAAGGAAGCACAUCGGGCAUCAGGGGUUAACAGUGUGAAAGAGAGAUGGCUUGAGAUAUCUAGCAAAAAAUCUCGAAAACCACCGAGUUGUGAACUUUGUCAAUAUCAGUAUCAAUGGCAUAAAAAGUUUAAGGUGCGUCAUUGGCAGUUUCCGCACUGUUCCAGAAGGGACAAGAUAUUGCAUC